CAGAAGUGGUAAACGUCUGAGACCUGCAUCACUUCGGGCUUUCCUCUCACAUUGAGCUGACAAGCAGUGAUAUUACUGGAAUACUGUUGAAAGCGGCAUUAUCCCCAACUCACUCACUACAAGGUGGACAUAUUAAGUUUAUUGAGAGGUGAUCGUCACGUUAUGGCUGAAAUAGGUGAGUUUAAAGGGGCACUGAUCUAAAGCAAUUCCCCGGGACUGGUUGUUGCCUUUGUUAUUGUUUUUUCCCAGUGAGUACCCGGAUGAAGAGCAGAAAUCUAGACUAGUUCACGACCUCUGCUGCGCCAUUCGAACUACCCGACGCUUCCUGGAGAAGUUUGGUGAAGACAUAGACACUGUUGUGUUCGUGUGUUCAGAUGAGACAGUGGAUGUGUACAAGGGAUUAUUACCCUUGUAUUUCCCCCGCAAUAUUCGU
Molecule: long non-coding RNA, 433 nt
Organism: Haliotis rufescens (red abalone)
Lineage: Eukaryota; Metazoa; Mollusca; Gastropoda; Lepetellida; Haliotidae
Exons: 3
Source: RefSeq, a predicted model, not a curated record